RNAcentral lists this small RNA (577 nucleotides) under Pan troglodytes (chimpanzee). RNAcentral's name for it is "processed transcript". Lineage: Eukaryota; Metazoa; Chordata; Mammalia; Primates; Hominidae. The record is from RNAcentral.
GGUUUUAGGCGGCGAAGCCUCUCGGCAGCACCUCCUUCCUUCUUUGCCAGGCAGACGCCCGUUGUAGCCGUUGGGGAACCGUUGAGAAUCCGAAAGCCCGCUUAUCUACCAUUUUAUUUACUGACAACUGUGAAGUAUCCCAUGACCAGCUGUGUGAAUUGCUGAAGUAUGCAGUUCUGGGCAAAUCCAAUGUUCCAAAACCCAGGGAAUGAGUCAGCUACACUUUUACAGGUUCUAUUUGGAGUUUGGAUGUCUUCGAAAAGCAUUCAGACAUAAAUUCCGCUUGCCUCCACCAUCAUCUGAUUUUCUAGCUGAUGUUGUUGGGCUACAAACUGAACAAAGAGCUGGAGAUCUGCCCAAGACAAUGGAAGAGCCUUUACCUUCUAAUGCAAAAGCCGCCAUCAACCUUCAGGAUGAUCCCAUCAUUCAAAAGUAUGGCUCUAAGAAAGUGGGCUUGACCAGAUGCCUUCUGACAAAGGAGGAAAUGAGAACGUUUCACUUUCCAUUACAAGUGCCUCACAUCCAAGGGGAGAGAGCUAACACGCAUCUCACUGGUUGCUGAAGGAGGCUGCUGUGU